GAACUGCAUUGGAAACUGGUUACCUAGAGUAUGGGAGGGGGAGAUGGAAUUAGUGGUGUAGGGGUAAAAUCCGUAGAUAUCACUAGGAAUACCGAAAGCGAAGGCGAUCUCCUGGAACAAUACUGACGCCAAGGCGUGAAAGCGUGGGGAGCAAACGGGAUUAGAUACCCCGGUAGUCCACGCCCUAAACGAUGAGCACUAGUCGUCGGAAUGCUAGUCAUUUCGGUGAUGCACUUAACAGAUUAAGUGUUCCGCCUGGGGAGUACGGUCGCAAGAUUAAAACUCAAAGGAAUAGACGGGGACCCGCACAAGUGGUGGAGCAUGUGGUUUAAUUCGAAGAUACGCGAAGAACCUUACCUAGCCUUGACAUAUUUAAGAAUCCGAUAGAGAUAUUGGAGUGCCUUCGGGAGCUUUCUUACAGGUGCUGCACGGCUGUCGUCAGCUCGUGUCGUGAGAUGUUGGGUUAAGUCCCGCAACGAGCGCAACCCUCGUCACUAGUUACUAACGGUUCGGCCGAGGACUCUAGUGAGACUGCCUUCGUAAGGAGGAGGAAGGUGAGGACGACGUCAAGUCAUCAUGGCCCUUACGGCUAGGGCAACACACGUGCUACAAUGGCCUGGACAGUGAGACGCGAUACCGUGAGGUGGAGCAAAUCUAUAAACCUGGUCUCAGUUCGGAUUGUAGUCUGCAACUCGACUACAUGAAGCUGGAAUCACUAGUAAUCGUAGAUCAGCAAUGCUACGGUGAAUACGUUCCCGGGUCUUGUACUCACCGCCCGUCACACCAUGGGAGUUGAUUUCACCCGAAAUUGGGAAGCUAACCUUCGGGAGGCUACCACUUACGGUGGAAUUAGCGACUGGGGUGAAGUCGUAACAAGGUAACC
This 883-nucleotide ribosomal RNA is filed under the name uncultured bacterium. RNAcentral's name for it is "bacterial SSU rRNA". It matches the Rfam family "Bacterial small subunit ribosomal RNA", at positions 618 to 1501 of the family's 1533-position model. The record is from RNAcentral.